UGGCUCAGGACGAACGCUGGCGGCGCGCCUAACACAUGCAAGUCGAACGAGCGAGAGAGAGCUUGCUUUCUCGAGCGAGUGGCGAACGGGUGAGUAACGCGUGAGGAACCUGCCUCAAAGAGGGGGACAACAGUUGGAAACGACUGCUAAUACCGCAUAAGUCCACAGCUCGGCAUCGAGCAGAGGGGAAAGGAGCAAUCCGCUUUGAGAUGGCCUCGCGUCCGAUUAGCUAGUUGGUGAGGUAACGGCCCACCAAGGCGACGAUCGGUAGCCGGACUGAGAGGUUGAACGGCCACAUUGGGACUGAGACACGGCCCAGACUCCUACGGGAGGCAGCAGUGGGGAAUAUUGCACAAUGGGGGAAACCCUGAUGCAGCGACGCCGCGUGGAGGAAGAAGGUCUUCGGAUUGUAAACUCCUGUUGUUGGGGAAGAUAAUGACGGUACCCAACAAGGAAGUGACGGCUAACUACGUGCCAGCAGCCGCGGUAAAAACGUAGGUCACAAGCGUUGUCCGGAAUUACUGGGUGUAAAGGGAGCGCAGGCGGAACACAAGUUGGAAGUGAAAUCUAUGGGUUCAACCCAUAACACUGCUUUUAAAAAUGUUUCUCCUGGGUAGUGCCAGAGGGACGCGGAAUUUCCGGGGGAGGCGGUGGAAUGGUAAGAUAUUGGGGAGGAACCACCAGUGCGGGAAGGGGGGCUUACUGGGCCACCCAACUGACGCUGAGGCUCGAAAGUGUGGGUAGCAAACAGGAUUAAAUACCCUGGUAGUCCACACCGUAAACGAUGAUUACUAGGUGUUGGAGGAUUGACCCCUUCAGUGCCGCAGUUAACACAAUAAGUAAUCCACCUGGGGAGUACGACCGCAAGGUUGAAACUCAAAGGAAUUGACGGGGGCCCGCACAAGCAGUGGAGUAUGUGGUUUAAUUCGACGCAACGCGAAGAACCUUACCAAGUCUUGACAUCCCUUGACAGGCAUAGAAAUAUGUUUUCUCUUCGGAGCAAGGAGACAGGUGGUGCACGGUUGUCGUCAGCUCGUGUCGUGAGAUGUUGGGUUAAGUCCCGCAACGAGCGCAACCCUUAUGGUCAGUUACUACGCAAGAGGACUCUGGCCAGACUGCCGUUGACAAAACGGAGGGAGGUGGGGAUGACGUCAAAUCAUCAUGCCCUUUAUGACUUGGGCUACACACGUACUACAAUGGCGUUAAACAAAGAGAAGCAAGACCGCGAGGUGGAGCAAAACUCAGAAACAACGUCCCAGUUCGGACUGCAGGCUGCAACUCGCCUGCACGAAGUCGGAAUUGCUAGUAAUCGUGGAUCAGCAUGCCACGGUGAAUACGUUCCCGGGCCUUGCACUCACCGCCCGUCA
Molecule: ribosomal RNA, 1367 nt
Filed under: uncultured bacterium
Lineage: Bacteria
Description: bacterial SSU rRNA
Rfam family: Bacterial small subunit ribosomal RNA
Source: RNAcentral